UCGGCUGCACGACAGUCGGGCUCGACCUGAACUGUGCGACUACUCUUCAGGAACGUCAAACUCAGGAGGUCACGCCUGGACAAAUCACUCAGGUCACGUUUCACUAUUUUGGAAAUCUGAUGGAAAGCCACUGCAGGUUGGAUGUACCUGUUGUGAGGCCUGUUUCAGGUAUCGCCACAGCGCGUCAUCUCUUUCCACGUAAGCCUAUCUCCUGCAUCCUCAUGGCACCAACUGCCCUCAUGUCUUCUCUCACGACAUCCAUCGACCUUCUCUUUGGUCUUCCUCUAGCUCUCUUGCCUGGCAGCUCCAUCCUCAUCAUCCUUCUACCAAUAUACUCACUAUUUCUCCUCUGGACGUGCCCAAACCAUCGAAGUCUGCUCUCUCGAACUUUGUCUCCAAAACAUCGAACCUUGGCUGUCCCUCUGAUGAGCUCAUUUCUAAUUUUAUCCAACCUGGUCACUCCGAGAGCGAACCUCAACAUCUUCAUUUCCGCCACCCCCAACUCUGUUUCCUGUUGUCUCUUCAGUGCCACUGCCUCUAAUCCGUACAUCAUGGCUGGCCUCACCACUGUUUUAUAAACUUUGCCCUUCAUCCGAGCAGUCUCUUCUGUCACAUAACACACCUGACACCUUUCUCUACUCGUUCCAACCUGCUUUGACCCGUUUCUUCAGUUCCUGACCACACUCACCAUUGCUCUGGACGGUUGACCCCAAGUAUUUCAAGUCCUCCACCCUGGCUAUCUAUUCUUCCUGUCAUCAGGACCAACUGCCUUUCCAUUUUUCAUCCUCUUUAAUGCCUUCCUAACUUUCCCCUUACAAAUCAUUGCCACUUCCUGGUCCACCACACUUGCCUCUUCUACUUUCCCCACUCUCUCAUUUCCCUCAUUCAUCAACUCCUCGACGUAUUCUUUCCAUCUAUCUAGCACACUACUGGCACCAGUCAACAUAUUUCCAUCUCUAUCCUUAAUCACCCUAACCUGCUGCACAUCCUUCCCAUCUCUAACCCUCUGUCUGGCCAGCCUGUAUAGAUCCUUUUCUCCUUCUUUAGUGUCCAACCUGCCAUACAUGUCAUCAUAUGCCUCUUCUUUGACCUUUGCCACCCCUACCUUUGCCCUAUGUCCCAUCUCAAUGUAUUCCUUUCUCCUCUCCUCGGUCCUCUCAGUGUCCCACUUCUUCUUAGCCAACCAUUUUCCUUGUAUGAUUUCCUGUACUGUGAGGUUCCACCACCAAGUCUCUUUCUCUCCUUUCCUGCCAGAGCGCCAUCCUUCCACGCCAGUUUCACAAGAACUCCGGCGGCUGCCGGUUCAGUUUGGAAUCCUCUUGAAAGUCCUCCAGGCCGACCGUAAACUCGCCCGUCGGCCAUUUUAUAAAGAUCGCCAUCGCUUCUCACCACUUCACCGUCCCGCCGCAGACGCUUCAUUGGCUCGGCUCCCCUCCUCUGACCUUCUGACCUUCUGACCUUCUGACCUUCUGACCUGCUGACCUGCGCGACAGGCCCUCCAUUUCUCUCUCCAAAGCCAAAUUCAAAACACAUCUGUGACAAUGUUGUGUCAUACUCCCCCUCGUCUUGUUUUCACAGUGAUGAUUUUUUUUUGGGUGUUCUUAAUUUUUAUACCUUCAUUUGACAGUUUUAUUGUACGGUUCGCCAUAAUAAAAUGCAUUACUAUUAUUUUUACUACCCCCCA
Molecule: long non-coding RNA, 1684 nt
Organism: Phyllopteryx taeniolatus (common seadragon)
Lineage: Eukaryota; Metazoa; Chordata; Actinopteri; Syngnathiformes; Syngnathidae
Exons: 3
Source: RefSeq, a predicted model, not a curated record